Homo sapiens (human) is the source of this 1757-nucleotide long non-coding RNA. The record is from Ensembl. NCBI's taxonomy places the organism in Eukaryota, Metazoa, Chordata, Mammalia, Primates, Hominidae.
GUGGUGGAGCUAAUGACAUGUGUGCAGAAACUCUUCUGAAUGGGACUUCCCUGAUCCUGUUUUUACCUGAUCUUCAUGCUCAAUAGAAAAAGCCUCAGCUUUGGAAUCAGGGCCGUCCAGGUAGCAUGGCAUGGUACUGGAACACUAUGUCUUCUCUCUGACCUCUCGGAAUAUCUCUGUGAUUCAAUGUGUUGGCCCAUUGGAGGCCCUGGACUGGUUAAAACCUGGAGGUUUGAGAAACCCCUGAUCUUCUCCAUACUCUUCACAAGGGCAAUGGCUGGCCAAGAUUACAAAUUAGUGACUGUUGAGGCUGGAAUCUGUACCGAGGUCAUGGGAACCCCCUGCACUGCCCCUUCUAAUCACCCUCCUGCUUGGACCCUGGGAGUAUGACAAAGAGUCAGAUAAGACAACUGAGGCUGAAGAUCACACAACCAGUAAAUGGAACAGCCAGAAAUCAAAUGUUAUAUAUUGGCCCUGAAGUGGGGAUAAAGCAGCUAAAAGAAAGUGUACUUUACAUUAAAUUUUAAGCCAGGAAUAUUUAAGGAUUCCCAUUGUUUCACACUCUUGACAGCACUUGGUAUUGUCAGACUUCAACACAAUUGCCAGCCAAGUAGGUAUCUCACUGAGACUUAUAUUUGUCUUUCUCUGUUCACAUAUUGCUUUUGUCUGUGGGACAUUCAUAUGUCCUCUUCUGUGAAAUGUCUAUAUAUCCCUCUGGCAGAUAUUUUUAUUGAAUUAUUUGUAAUUUUUGUAUUGAUUGUUAGGAGCCAUUUAAAAAUAUGUAUACAUUUUCAAUACUAUUCUUUUGUUCGUUGCAUGUGUUCCAAAUAUAUUCUUCAAAUUAUGAUAUGGCUUGAUCUUCUACUCUUGAAAUGGUGUUUUUGAUGAAUAGAAGUUUUAAAUUUUAAUGUAGACAAGUCCGUCAGUAUUUUCCUUUGUAGUUAGUGCUUUUUAUAUAUCUUGUAUAAAUAAUUCUUGCCUACAUCAAGGUCAUAAAAAUAGUACCAAAUUUUCUCAUGAGAAUUUUAAAAUUCUGCUUUUCAUUAUGAAGUCUUUAAUCCACUAAAAAUUUAUUUAUUUAUGUGUAUGGUGUGAGAUAUAAAUUAAAUUUUAUUUUUUCAACUUGAAAAUCAAUUGUAUACCUAACUUUUAUUGUAUCCUAUUUUUAAAUUACAAUUUCUUUCUUUCUUUUUUUUGAGACAGAGUAUCAUUCUGUCACCCAGGCUGGAUUGCAGUGCUGUGAUCACAGCUCACUGUAGCCUCCAUCCACCUUUUGGGCUCAAGUGAUCUUUCCAUCUCAGCCUCCCAAGUAGCUGGCACUACAGGUGUGUGCCACUAUACCCAGCUAAUUUUCUUAUUAUUUUUUGUAGAGAUGGGGUCUUGCUAUGUUGCCCAGGCUGGCUUUAAAUGCCAGGGCUCAAGUGAUCCUCCCUCCUCAGCUUCCCAAAGUGGUGGGAUUACAGGAAUGAGCCACCAAACCCAGCCAAAAUUAUAAUUUCUAAUUAUUUAAAAAUGGAAUAGAUUCUUGCGCAUUGAUCUUAUAUUUGGUAACCUUUCCAAAAUCCCCUACUAAUACAAAAAGUUUGUUUCAGAUUUAUUUUUAAAGAGUUACAUCACCUGUAAAUAAGAGCAGCUUUGUUUCUUGCUUCCCAAUCCUCUUGCCUUUUAUUGUAUUGUAUUAAUUUCUUUUUCUGAUUUACUUAUGCUUUCAACAUUUCACCAUUAAACAUCAUGUUUGUUGUAGUUUUUUCUUUUUC